Molecule: ribosomal RNA, 691 nt
Filed under: Flavobacterium sp. S24.06.P.RBT.MI.H.Kidney.N
Lineage: Bacteria; Pseudomonadati; Bacteroidota; Flavobacteriia; Flavobacteriales; Flavobacteriaceae
Description: bacterial SSU rRNA
Rfam family: Bacterial small subunit ribosomal RNA
Source: RNAcentral
AGUCGAGGGGUAUAGUUCUUCGGAACUAGAGACCGGCGCACGGGUGCGUAACGCGUAUGCAAUCUACCUUUUACAGAGGGAUAGCCCAGAGAAAUUUGGAUUAAUACCUCAUAGUAUUAUGAAAUGGCAUCAUUUUAUAAUUAAAGUCACAACGGUAAAAGAUGAGCAUGCGUCCCAUUAGCUAGUUGGUAAGGUAACGGCUUACCAAGGCUACGAUGGGUAGGGGUCCUGAGAGGGAGAUCCCCCACACUGGUACUGAGACACGGACCAGACUCCUACGGGAGGCAGCAGUGAGGAAUAUUGGACAAUGGGCGCAAGCCUGAUCCAGCCAUGCCGCGUGCAGGAUGACGGUCCUAUGGAUUGUAAACUGCUUUUAUACAGGAAGAAACCCUGGUUCGUGAACCAGCUUGACGGUACUGUAAGAAUAAGGAUCGGCUAACUCCGUGCCAGCAGCCGCGGUAAUACGGAGGAUCCAAGCGUUAUCCGGAAUCAUUGGGUUUAAAGGGUCCGUAGGCGGUUUAAUAAGUCAGUGGUGAAAGCCCAUCGCUCAACGGUGGAACGGCCAUUGAUACUGUUAAACUUGAAUUAUUAGGAAGUAACUAGAAUAUGUAGUGUAGCGGUGAAAUGCUUAGAGAUUACAUGGAAUACCAAUUGCGAAGGCAGGUUACUACUAAUAUAUUGACGCUGAUGG